GACGAACGCUGGCGGCGUGCUUAACACAUGCAAGUCGAACGGAAAGGCCCUGCUUUUGUGGGGUGCUCGAGUGGCGAACGGGUGAGUAACACGUGUGUAACCUGCCCUUGACUUUGGGGUAACUUCAGGAAACUGGGGCUAAUACCGGAUAGGAGCUCCUGCUGCAUGGUGGGGGUUGGAAAGUUUCGGCGGUUGGGGAUGGACUCGCGGCUUAUCAGCUUGUUGGUGGGGUAGUGGCUUACCAAGGCUUUGACGGGUAGCCGGCCUGAGAGGGUGACCGGCCAAGUUGGGACUGGGAUACGGCCCAGACUCCUACGGGAGGCAGCAGUGGGGAAUAGUGCACAAUGGGCGGAAGCCUGAUGCAGCAACGCCGCGUGCGGGAUGACGGCCUUCGGGUUGCAAACCGCUUUCGCCUGUGACGAAGCGUGAGUGACGGUAAUGGGUAAAGAAGCACCGGCUAACUACGUG
Molecule: ribosomal RNA, 468 nt
Filed under: uncultured bacterium
Lineage: Bacteria
Description: partial 16S ribosomal RNA
Rfam family: Bacterial small subunit ribosomal RNA
Source: RNAcentral